CCUACGGGAGGCAGCAGUGGGGAAUAUUGCACAAUGGGGGAAACCCUGAUGCAGCGACGCCGCGUGAGCGAAGAAGUCUUUCGGUAUGUAAAGCCCUAUCAGCAGGGAAGAAAAUGACGGUACCUGAGUAAGAAGCUCAGGCCAAAUAAGUGCCAGCAGCCGCGGUAAUACGUAUGGAGCGAGCGUUAAUCGGAAUUACUGGGCGUAAAGCGCUAGUAGGCGGUAUGUCAAGUCAAGGGUGAAAUCCCCGCGCUCAACCUGGGAACUGCCGUUGAAACUGGCAAACUGGAGUGUGUGAGAGGUUAGUGGAAUUCCAGGUGUAGGAGUGAAAUCCGUAGAUAUCUGGAGGAACAUCAGUGGCGAAGGCGACUAUCUGGCACAUAACUGACGCUGAGGAGCGAAAGCGUGGGUAGCAAACAGGAUUAGAUACCCUUGUAGUC
RNAcentral lists this ribosomal RNA (440 nucleotides) under uncultured bacterium. RNAcentral describes it as "partial 16S ribosomal RNA". It matches the Rfam family "Bacterial small subunit ribosomal RNA", at positions 338 to 795 of the family's 1533-position model. The record is from RNAcentral.